CCUACGGGGGGCAGCAGUGGGGAAUAUUGCACAAUGGGGGAAACCCUGAUGCAGCGACGCCGCGUAAGUGAGGAAGUAUUUCGGUAUGUAAAGCUCUAUCAGCAGGGAAGAAAAUGACGGUACCUGACUAAGAAGCCCCGGCUAACUACGUGCCAGCAGCCGCGGUAAUCCGUAGGGGGCAAGCGUUAUCCGGAUUUACUGGGUGUAAAGGGAGCGUAGACGGCUAAUCAAGUCAGAAGGGAAAACCCAGGGCUCAACCUUGGGACUGCUUUUGAAACUGAGUAGCUAGAGUGCCGGAGAGGUAAGCGGAAUUCCUAGUGUAGCGGUGAACUGCGUAGAUAUUAGGAGGAACACCAGUGGCGAAGGCGGCUUACUGGACUGUACCUGACGUUGAGGCUCGAAAGCGUGGGGAGCAAACAGGAUUAGAUACCCGGGUAGUC
This 440-nucleotide ribosomal RNA is filed under the name uncultured bacterium. Its description in RNAcentral is "partial 16S ribosomal RNA". It matches the Rfam family "Bacterial small subunit ribosomal RNA", at positions 338 to 795 of the family's 1533-position model. The record is from RNAcentral.